GCAUAAUGCAUAAAAACAUAUGUAAAAGAAAUUUUAUCAUCGUUGUAGUUCCAGUUAAAUAACAGGAGCUCAAAAACUAAAUAUAUCUUCUAUAGUUGAUGCAAAGGAACUUUCAUCCAUUCAAAUGUCUUCCCUGCAUAAGAGUUGUGCAAAUCAAAGUUUUGACCAAAAACUUGAAGCAAAUCUUAAUUGUUAACAAUAUAAACUUAUUUUUUUAAUAUUGUGUUCACAUUACUCAAAUCAAAUACUACUAUAGAGAACCUAGUGGCGACUUGUUUAUGAAGCUAUUAGAACUGAAAAUGUUAUAACAACGAAAAAACAGAGAAUAUAAUUUACACUUGAUUCUCUUAUGUCGAGACUUCAUGAAAUCACUUUUCAUAAUAGAAAGGAUUUUCAUUUUUCAAAAAAUAGAAAAUGUGGAGUACAUUGGUAAGAAACUUUUGAGUUGAAGGAUUUCAAGGAGAAACGACAUCUUCUCCUAAUCAUAAAGCAAGUAUUUUAAGAAUUUGUCAAACCUUUGAAAUAUCUCUCAAAAAAUCUUCCUACUACCUGGAGAUAGGAGUUGAUUUCCUCCUUUAUGGUGUCUUGCACUUCGAUCAUUUUGUAAGUAAUAUCCUUAUUUGUCAGAUUUAAUUAGUAAAUGCUUUUGUGUCUGCGGUAUGUCACUUUACCUCUUAACCUACAAUCUCUGUUUCGGCAAUACACCAUCUACGAUAAAUUUCACUGUUAGUUCUUUUCUUUUAUCAUGAGACCAAUUAUAUAUAGUCACUUGUCUUACCUUGUCCUCUGUCAAUAAUAUUAGGACUUCGAGAGACAAAGGUGAAAUUAAAAGAAGGAACUUCUUUUAGGAAUAAAAUGGCAUUAAAAUCUCUAUAUUCCUUUUCUUAAUUAUUAUCAAAUCAAAUAGCUUACUACUUUUUGAACUUGGGGAACAUUAUAAAGACAUGAAAUAACAUACAAGACAUGAAAAUGACACCAUUGUAAGAGCUAAUGUUCACUGGUUCUAACAGAUACUUUAACAUUUCAUGAGUUCCCAUUAAAUAUAGAGGCAACUAAUAUAUUAUAAAGAGAUGCGGCAGAACACCAUCAAAACCAGAUCAUUCUUUAGCCACUACAUAACAUUGGCAUAUUCAUAGACAGCAGAAAAUAUAACCACUUAGAUAAUUUCAUUUGCGUGCUAAAAACAACUUACCAUUAAACUCUCCGCAAAGCUUGUCCUAUUGGUACCCUUUAGCCAAAAUCGCUUCCCCUUAUUCUUCAUUUUUCCUCGGACAAUGAAUCUAUUUAGUCAUGGCACAAAAACAAUAUGAAUUAUUUUUCUUGUAAGAAUUAACUAAAUUAACAUAAGGGAACCAUGAAUGAAGUUGAAAGGCACAUAAAAUUGAGAUUUUUUUGCUAAGUCUCAACAAUAAUGCAAAGAUAUUCUGACUUUCUAACUAUUGCACUUCUUCAAAUAGCUGGUGUGUGUUAAAAAUAUAAACAUAAGAUAAAUGUAAAGAAUCAUAACCAUAAUACAAAAUACAGAAAAUAUAUAGUUUAUACAUAAUUCUAUCAUUGUGACACUCCUAUUAUGUGUUAUCAUGUUAUGUGAUGCUCUUCUUUUAAGACAAAAUUUCAACAUUUUGCUUGUUCACAUGAUAAGUCAAAUGUAAUAGUGAGAUGAUUAAAGAAAGUAAGCUCACGAAAUAUCAUGUCUUCACAUAUAGGCUCUUUCUUAUAUAUUAUUUUUACAUCUUCCGCUACCUACUCCAUGUAAACAUAGUAAGAUGACAUUAGAUGCACUCACGAAAAAUGGUUAAUAGGACAGAAGGUGUGAUAGAUAAACUUUAGGGUAGAACUUCCUAUUACCACAGAAUACCAGCAAUCCAUUCCUAUGAUCUCACACAACAACUUUAGAAUGCCUAAUUUAAAAAAUAAAUAAAAGAAUAAUUUGUACUUGAUGCAUAUCGUCAAAAACUUUGC
RNAcentral lists this long non-coding RNA (1962 nucleotides) under Solanum tuberosum (potato). RNAcentral describes it as "long non-coding RNA (STUB_LNC001360)". Lineage: Eukaryota; Viridiplantae; Streptophyta; Magnoliopsida; Solanales; Solanaceae. The record is from RNAcentral.